GCCCGGCAACGGAGUUUGCCUGUGCCUGCAGCAAGUUUCAGCGAAAGAAGUUCCCCUGUCAUUCUCUAAUUCCCCACUUCAAAGCAUCUGCGCUUGCUGUCUUUCUUGUUGGAACAAGGUGCUCCUGGCUCUUUGCAGCUUCUAGACCUCAGCUCAAACACCACCUCUUCCUUCAGAGAAUGUUUCCUGACCUCUGGGUCUAAAGCAGCAAUCUCACUUACUCUUUCAUACCCUUAAUUCAUUUUCUUCAUAUUUAUUAAAAUCUAUAAUUAUCUUUUUAAUCACUUGUCUAAUUGCAUAUUUUAGUAUUUUUCCCAAUAAAUACCAAGGUAUAUGAGAGUAAGAAUCUUUCACUUUUGUCACUAUAAUUAAAGAAUUUAAGGAAAUAUGUCCAGUAAAUAUUUGUUGCAAGAAUACAGAAAGGAUGAACUUAUCUGCUUCUACACAACCAGAACAUCAGACAAAAUGAUCCCUGCUGCCAUUGCUGAAAAAGAGCCUUUGCAUGUGGAGCAAAUGUGAUGUCGUCUCUAAACCUUUGCCCUGUGCCUUUAUGGAAGGCUAUCGCUCACCUACUCAAGCCACCUGCUGUAUCCAUUGCACAGCGAGCAGUGGGGAGAGACAUGAUCAAGUUCCUCUAAGUCUCUAGGGGCUGCCAGAACAACAGACAUAUUUUGUUCAUUAUUAUUUGUUCAAGAAUAGCAAUAGUCUUCUGGGUUCUUGUUUUGUGAGGGUUGCUGGUUCCUGUGAAGCCUCUUUCACCUGUUCCUUCUGAUUUCAGUUUAAAUGCUUGCAUAUCCCACACAUCUCUGGGUGUAUCUUAUGUGCCAGGAGACUUGUGGGAGCUUCCACAAACAUUUCAUCUUGUUUUAAGUAAGAAGAAGUUACUCUCCUUCCCCAUGUUUCAGAAGGUGAAGCUGGAGCUCGGAAUCCAGGUGACUUGCUAGGUGUCACACAGACGUACCAGGGACAGGAACCGGGUCAUCUAGUUUCAAUCCCACUCUUUCCCUUUUAAGAAGUGAGCACAUGGGAAGUGGAACAUGUACAGGAAAAUAUACUACUUCUGGCGGUGGGAAGUGAGCAAAAGUAAAUACAAAGGCAUACUUUAUUAAGUGCAUGAGCAAUCCUUUUUAUUAGAACACAUGGAAAACAAAGAUGAUAAAAGGAUUUUUCACUCCCUGGACGUUAUUGAACUUCAAGCAAAAUGCUGCAUAUCAUCUGGUGACCAGGUACCCCACGUUGUCAUUUCUUUCUUUCUUGCUGUAUUAUAGAUCACCGAGUCUUAUGUAAUUACCCACAAAAUUGCUGGUGUUGCUUCAUGACAGGCAUGACAAAUCCUCAAUAAGGCCUCUUUGGUUGUCUAGAAAAUGAUUAACCUCUUCCUGCAGCUGUUGGAUGUGAUAUUUAAUAUAUGCAACAAAAUACAUAUGCAUGCAACUUCAGCGCAUGCCAUUUAACAGUAUUUUCUUCCUAGGUCAAAGUUUGCCCAGCAUGACCUCACCCACUAACUGCAUUAGUUUAAAAUUUUAGGCCAAAAUAAAAUAGUGAUCUAAAAUCAUGCAGCUUUUAUUCACUGUACAACAUGGAUAUUCAUAAGACCCCUCCAUAAAUGUUUGGUCCAGAUCUUUCUUCCACUGAAUGAAGUUUGACAAUUUGUGACAAGACAGAAAGGAAAUUCAUUAUAUUUAGUAAUAGAAAACCUAUUUCUCAUUUUUCACGAGCCAAGCAGCCUCGAUGAAAUUGCCUAAACCGCUACAUCACACUCCUCCACCUUUGUGGUCUGUGAGGUCGCUCACAAGGGUCUUCAAUUUCCUUAUGUUCACAGCUUGGCAUCUGGUAAUUUUCAGUAUCAGAAAACAUAAGGGGGCUAUAUAUUUUUUCCUCAGAAGAAAUAUUUCUGAUUUGAAAAGAAAUAAAUCUGUCAAGAGGAAAAUAUUAAAAAUAAAAAGUGUGACUGUAAUAAUCACAUCGAUGUCACAGGCAAUUUUGCUCAUUCGGAUUGGGGAAGGAAACUUCCCUGCCCCCCCAAAGGAAUUGUCAAAGUAAGAGAAAUGGAAUUUUUAUUUCAAUAACCACUUUGGUUUAAGGGUAAUUUAUGUAUAAGGAAGCACAACAGCCUCAAGAAUCAAAUUUCCUUAAAAUAUUAUUUUGUAUUCUCUCUGCUACAAGGCUUAGUGAAACUGAUGGAUCAAAGUGAAGAAUUACUAAAUUUGUUUCUCUAAGUUACAGUUUAACAGACACUGUACACCACACACAGCACUGGCAAAAGGGCAGUGUUUUGCAUUUUGCAAAGGGUUAUACCCAGAGAAUAAUAUUUCUUGAAAUUAAAUAAUCCUCAUAAUGUUAAAAUGAAAAAUGGAAGAAAAGCUAGUUUUGUUUGACCGGAUCCAGAAAAGUAGCAAAUCUUCCGCUGCCCACACCCACCUCCCGUCACACACACACACACCCUUGGGCUCAGUCACUGCUGUUUUCAUCAAUAAUAAAUAGCAGUGCUAUAUGGCAUUUAAGUUUUUUUUUUUCUUUUUUUAGUAUGCAUUUCCUCAGAGAAGAUAGAAAGAAUGUUCAGGCAUUUAAAUGAGCAGUUUAAAUUCUUAUUUCUUUCUAGAAUGAUCUCUGGCUAUAGCUAGAACUAGCUGCAUUUAGGAUUGAAAAACAAAGGAAGAAGAAUAUAUAAAACAACUAAAUCACGGCUUCAUAUUUGCUCAGCUCCACACAGAAAAUAUUUAUCACUGUCUCCAUAGCAAUUCUUACUGAUCGCAUCGAUUAACCCAAGGCACACUUGCCGCACGCGGUACUCGGUAGGGAGCCUGCCGUCAAUCUGCGAGUGCGUCUAAGGCUUGUCUUUCUUUUCUUUCCCUUCUUCUCUUCUCUUCUCUUCUCUUCUCUUCUCUUCUCUUCUCUUCUCUUCUCUUCUCUUCUUUCUCUUCUCUCUUCUCUUCUUUCUCCUUCCUUCCUUCCUUCCUUCCUUCCUUCCUUCCUUCCUUCCUUCCUUCCUUCCUUUCUUUCUUUGAUGGAGUGCCAGGCUGUCACCCAGGCUGGAGUGCAAUGGCACCAUCCCG
RNAcentral lists this long non-coding RNA (3056 nucleotides) under Homo sapiens (human). Its description in RNAcentral is "HSALNT0253578". Lineage: Eukaryota; Metazoa; Chordata; Mammalia; Primates; Hominidae. The record is from RNAcentral.